UAACACCUGGAAACAGAUGCUAAUACCGGAUACAACAGAUGAUGCCUAUCAACUGUUUAAAAGAUGGUUCUGCUAUCACUCUUGGAUGGACCUGCGGUGCAUUAGCUAGUUGGUAGGGUAACGGCCUACCAAGGCGAUGAUGCAUAGCCGAGUUGAGAGACUGAUCGGCCACAUUGGGACUGAGACACGGCCCAAACUCCUACGGGAGGCAGCAGNG
RNAcentral lists this ribosomal RNA (217 nucleotides) under uncultured Lactobacillus sp. RNAcentral describes it as "partial 16S ribosomal RNA". It matches the Rfam family "Bacterial small subunit ribosomal RNA", at positions 144 to 356 of the family's 1533-position model. Lineage: Bacteria; Bacillati; Bacillota; Bacilli; Lactobacillales; Lactobacillaceae. The record is from RNAcentral.